AGGUGCGAUCAUACCAGCACUAAUGCACAGGUGUCAUCAGAACAGCGCACUUAAGCGUCCUUGGGCUAGAGUAGUACUAGGAUGGGUGACCUCCUUCGAAGUCCUCGUGUUGCACCCA
RNAcentral lists this ribosomal RNA (118 nucleotides) under Lupinus angustifolius (narrow-leaved blue lupine). Lineage: Eukaryota; Viridiplantae; Streptophyta; Magnoliopsida; Fabales; Fabaceae. The record is from RNAcentral.